RNA transcript from Gymnodraco acuticeps, 3466 nucleotides. It is a transcript of the gene named prolyl endopeptidase like, with no coding region annotated. The record is from RefSeq and is a predicted model, not a curated record. NCBI's taxonomy places the organism in Eukaryota, Metazoa, Chordata, Actinopteri, Perciformes, Bathydraconidae. The transcript has 15 exons.
UCAGGCACGUGUAUAGAAUUUGCUUUCUGCUGUCAACAGAGGACGUUUCAUUUAUUUAUCGAAACAAUACAUUAUUCAGGUGGAAAUACAACGCUUAUUUGUCAUGCGAAGUGUGUUUUACUGUCGUCAUGACUGACAUACAUUUACCAGGCAGUGAUAUUAAGCUACUUUGACCCAUAAAACCACAGCGUUCAUGUGUAAACUAAGCUAAUUUAACCUUAUUUAUUUGUAAUGGCUGUCCUCUCUUCUUUGCUGUGUUCACCUGCUCGUUACAUUUCACCAUUUCGGUUACGAUUAUGGGAUUUCUCUCCUUGCAAAAGGAGAACAUGGCUCUUCUUGUCCAUCCAACGCUGUUACUCAUCGGACAAUUCAAACUCACCAGAUCAUCAUCGCAGCUCUGGACUCGAGAGGUACAAGGACUUACAGAAGUAUUUCAACAGGAGACUGAAGGCAGCACACCACAGGUUCUCCCACAUACCUGAUCACUCAUUGGUCUGUGGCCAUAACCAUGUGUAUUUCAUUGAGGGGGAUGGGAUCUACAGAGUGGACCAAAGACAAAGUGACCCAGAACCAGAGCAGGUGCUACAUCUAGGACAAGUCUCUAGGCAGGAGGAGAAGACAGGUCUUAUUAAUGAAGAAAGGAUUCAGUGGAUUGUCCAGAGAAUACGUCUGUCCCCUCAGGAGAAGCAUCUUGCUGCCGCACUAAAAACUACUGACACAGAAGAGCCUAGGUGUGUGGUUGUGAGGCUUCGAAAGAGAAACUCUCCUCCUCCUCCUGAUCCCCAACACAUUGUACUCACACUGGACAAAGUCUUCAGCUUUGAGUGGGCCACAGACGAUGUCCUGUUCUACACAACUCUGGAGGCUCUGCGCUGCAGUAAAGUGUUUCGAUUGGACCUGACCUCCAAAGAAAGUAGGAUCUCUUCUGUGUUUGAGGAAACACAUCCUGAUGUGUUUGUGGAGGUCGCUCUUUCCAGAGACCGACAGAUGCUGAGCAUCAACGGCAACAGCAGGAGCAGCUCAGAGGUUCUGCUAAUUGAUGGAACGACUUCCCAUCUAGAGCCUUUCCUGGUUCAGUCACGGCAGCCGGACCUCCUGUACCAUGUGGAGCACUGGAGAGAGUCUCUGGUUAUACUGGCUAAUACAGGGCCUGGGAAAGAAUAUCAGGUGUUGCAGUCCCCUCUCUCAAAGCCCUCCAUGGCCUCCUGGGUGCCUUUGUUUGCCCCUUACUCCGGCACUGUUAUCAAAGACAUGGACGUGAUCGGAGACCACUGUGUGUUGGUGGCUAGAACAGCAGCCGGUGGACUCGUUCUUAUCGUAGUCUCGCUGACCAAUCCCAAGGAGGCAUACACUGUACAGCUCCCCUCCUGGGCCUGUACCAUCCAAACGAAGAAACCAGGCAUGGGAGACCGAGGCAGUGUGUUGGAGUUCUUGAUUUCAUCUCCAGUCCACACCCCAAUGCCGUACAGUCUGUCCCCUGAAGAUGGGCUACUUUUAUCAGGCUUCAAAGAUGGUUCCUCCCCAGGGGCCCAGGGCAGAAUUACCACCACCCGCUUAGAGGCCUGCAACCAAGAUGGUACCUUGGUGCCAGUGACCCUGUUUCACUCAGGACCUGUGGGGGGUUUGAGACAGGCUCCUCUACUCGUCCAUGUCUACGGAGCUUAUGGCAGAGAUCUCAACAUGGAGUUCUGCCCAGAGAAAAGGCUUCUGCUAGAGCAAGGCUGGACUCUGGCCUUCUGCCACAUCAGAGGUGGAGGAGAGCGAGGUCUCUUCUGGCACCGACAGGCUGGUGUUGAGGGGAAGCAGAGAGGAGUGGAGGACCUGCGAGCCUGUCUCCGUCACCUCUUCUCUUCAGGAGUCUCCUCUCCUUCUCUCACCGCCCUCACAGCCUGCAGCGCGGGGGCUGUGGCCGUGGGAGCGCUGUGUAACACACACACACACAUGAUGCGAGCUGUCACACUGCAGGCUCCUUUCCUGGAUGUGUUGGGAACAAUGGAGGACCCCAGCCUGCCUCUAACUUUGGAGGAUAGAGAAGAAUGGGGGGACCCAGUUGGAAACCCAGAACAUAGACUCAUCAUCUCCUCCUACUGUCCCCUUCACAACAUAACCCCUCAGCUAGUGUUACCCAUCGAUGCUGCUGACGGCCUACAGCGGUGAUGCCAGGGUUCCUCUGGCAGGUGUCCUCAAAUACACCGAGCUGCUAAAAAAGGCCAUCCAUACACACUUCACCUUGAAUCCAAAAUCAGAAUAUGAACCAGCACCAAACAUAGUUCUGAAUAUCCAACCUGGAGAAAAUCACCUCGGACCAGAAGACUUUGAGCUGAUGCUGGAGGAGGAAGCCCUCAGGCUAGCAUUCCUUUACACAGAGCUGGGCCUGGAGCCUCCUCGGCCCCAACGCAAGAGGAGGAGAUAACACUGCUAUCAGGAGCCAGGAAUCAAACAAAUACCAUUACUACAACAACUCUGAUGACACUUACUGCCUAAUCUUUAACAACACCAAUGAAAGAGAAGACAACAGUGGAUGUAUCUGCAAUCCUCUUUAUUACACGCUAUGAAUCCCUUACAGAGGAGACCCCAAAGAAGAAUCUUGAUGAUGCGUUUUAGCAUUUAUAAAGUAUGUCCACGGCACUUAAAUAGCAGGCCUUCUCGGAGACGUAGCACUGGUCAGGGUGGGUGGGGUUAAACCGGGUGUGGGUGGAGUACUGGAUAAGCAAACCCUCUCCUACCUCUGUGGGGAUGUGAGACUUUUGUAACACCUUGCCGCUGUUGACUUGUUUUGUGCUCAUCAGCACCUUCAGCUGGUCCGGUAGCUCCCUGAUCGAGGAGAGGUCUGUGAUGGCAGAUUCUUUACCAAAGUUUAGCACCAUGAGGAAAGCUCGGCCCAGCCCUUCUAGCUCUCUGAGGUAAGAGAAGACGUUAGCGUCGGCGUGGACGUAGCAGAACCAGCCGCGGUGCAGGGGCAGCUCCGACUGACGCAGGGUGCUCAGGAAACGGUACUGAGCCAGGACAGAACCUGGCUCUUUCUUCUGGACCUAGAGGAGAACGAUUGGCAAGAAGACACAUGGUGUAAAAGAAAAUUAUCGUGAGCAAGCUCUGGCCAGAUGUUUCUCCAGAGAUUAAAGAGUUCUGUACCUCCACAUUGACGCUACUGUAGUCAGGAUGAACAGGCAACCAGGUGAUGUUGCUUUUGGUGUUAAAGCCUGCGUUUAUGUCAUCACUCCACUGCAUAGGGGAGCGCUGGGGGUCCCGACUGGCACUCUGCAGCAAGAGGAAUCAGUUUAGCACAUCAGCUUCUAGUGACAAUAAAUAUAUGUAUCUAUAUGAAAAUAUAAAUCAAAUCAAAAACCUGCAAUAAAUCCUACCAUCGUUGAAAUCGUUACACAGAGGCAGUGAUUUAACUUAUUGGCUUUUUCCAGGCUGUUUGUUAUGUUGAAGAGAUUUAUAUUAAAGUUGAAGUCCACACACA